This 241-nucleotide unclassified non-coding RNA is filed under the name uncultured fungus. Its description in RNAcentral is "sequence contains ITS1, 5.8S rRNA gene". The stretch from base 193 to 241 matches the Rfam family "5.8S ribosomal RNA", at positions 1 to 49 of the family's 154-position model. Lineage: Eukaryota; Fungi. The record is from RNAcentral.
UCUCCGUUGGUGAACCAGCGGAGGGAUCAUUACAGAGUUUUUAACUCCCAAACCCAUGUGAACCUACUAUUUUGUUGCCUCGGCGGGUUCUGCCUCCCAUCUCGGGAGCAGGCUCAAGCCCGCCGGCGGCCCUUCUAAACUCUUGAUUUUAUUACGUAUCUCUUCUGAGUUAUUCAAAACAAAAUGAAUCAAAACUUUCAACAACGGAUCUCUUGGUUCUGGCAUCGAUGAAGAACGCAGC